CCUACGAGUGGCAGCAGUGAGGAAUAUUGGUCCAUGGACGAGAUUCUGAACCAGCCAAGUAGCGUGAAGGAUGACUGACCUAUGUGUUGUAAACUUCUUUUAUGAAGGAAUACAACGAGGCACGUGUGCCUUUUUGCAUGUCCUUUAUGAAUAAGGAUCGGCUAACUCCGUGCCAGCAGCCGCGGUAAUACGGAGGAUCCGAGUGUUAUCCGGAUUUAUUGGGUUUAACGGGAGCGUAGAUGGGUUGUUAAGUCUGUUGUGAAAGUUUGCGUCUCAACCGUAAAAUUGCAAUUGAUACUGGCAUUCUUGAGUACAGUUGAGGUAGGCGGAAUUCGUGGUGUAGCGGUG
RNAcentral lists this ribosomal RNA (348 nucleotides) under uncultured bacterium. RNAcentral's name for it is "partial 16S ribosomal RNA". It matches the Rfam family "Bacterial small subunit ribosomal RNA", at positions 338 to 683 of the family's 1533-position model. The record is from RNAcentral.